GAUGAAGAACGCAGCGAAAUGCGAUAAGUAAUGUGAAUUGCAGAAUUCAGUGAAUCAUCGAAUCUUUGAACGCACAUUGCGCCCGCCAGUAUUCUGGCGGGCAUGCUUGUUCGAGCGUCAUUUCAACCAUCAAGCCCCCGGCUUGUGUUGGGGACCUGCGGCUGCCGCAGGCCCUGAAAAGCAGUGGCGGGCUCGCUGUCACACCGAGCGUAGUAGCAUACAUCUCGCUCUGGGCGUGCUGCGGGUUCCGGCCGUUAAACCACCUUCAUAACCCAAGGUUGACCUCGGAUCAGGUAGGAAGACCCGCUGAACUUAAGCAUAUCAAUAAGCGGAGGA
This 336-nucleotide unclassified non-coding RNA is filed under the name soil metagenome. RNAcentral's name for it is "partial contains 5.8S ribosomal RNA, internal transcribed spacer 2, and large subunit ribosomal RNA". The stretch from base 1 to 120 matches the Rfam family "5.8S ribosomal RNA", at positions 35 to 154 of the family's 154-position model. The record is from RNAcentral.